RNAcentral lists this transfer RNA (73 nucleotides) under Actinomycetes bacterium. Its description in RNAcentral is "Actinobacteria bacterium (soil metagenome) tRNA-Asn". It matches the Rfam family "tRNA". From Rfam's summary of the family: Transfer RNA (tRNA) molecules are approximately 80 nucleotides in length. Lineage: Bacteria; Bacillati; Actinomycetota; Actinomycetes. The record is from RNAcentral.
UGGCCUGUAGCUCAACAGGAAGAGCGGCCGGUUGUUACCCGGCCAGGUGCUGGUUCGAAUCCAGCCAGGUCAG